CUAUGGGACGCUGCAGUGAGGAAUUUUGCGCAAUGGGGGGAACCCUGACGCAGCAACGCCGCGUGAGUGAAGAAGGCCUUUGGGUCGUAAAGCUCUGUCAACAGGGAAGAAGUUACUUCAUAUUAAUAGUGUGUAGUAUUGACGGUACCUGUGGAGGAAGCAUCGGCUAACUCCGUGCCAGCAGCCGCGGUAAUACGGGGGAUGCAAGCGUUAUUCGGAAUCAUUGGGCGUAAAGGGCACGCAGGCGGCUCUGUCAGUCAGAUGUGAAAGCCCGGGGCUCAACCCCGGACGUGCAUUUGAAACAGCAGAGCUUGAGUACGGUAGAGGAAAGCGGAAUUCCUGGUGUAGAGGUGAAAUUCGUAGAUAUCAGGAGGAACACCGGUGGCGAAGGCGGCUUUCUGGACCGAAACUGACGCUGAGGUGCGAAGGCGUGGGUAGCGAACAGGAUUAGAUACCCCGGUAGUC
RNAcentral lists this ribosomal RNA (465 nucleotides) under uncultured bacterium. RNAcentral describes it as "partial 16S ribosomal RNA". It matches the Rfam family "Bacterial small subunit ribosomal RNA", at positions 339 to 795 of the family's 1533-position model. The record is from RNAcentral.